AUGCGACUCGGUGUUCGUCUUCAGUUUGAAAUCAAGCCAAUGGGGAAGUGCUUCGUGAAGUACCUUGCCAAAGUGGGUUGGCACUGGCUCAUGGUAGUGUCCAUAGUUCCUCCGCUUGCUGUUGGGGGUUCCCCCACCACGUCAUCGUCCAAGGGCGACACCGACUCCUUGCCCUUCUCUCCGUCAGCCACCACCUCCUUGCCCUUCAUGUUCUCUGUGUCGAUCUGCAUUAUGAACAGCAUGAAGUUCAAAGAUCAACAUUCAUUCCUAUCAUCCAAAGCUCCUAUAUUUAUCCACCCAAAUGCCACCUACUUACCCUCCACUGCAAGCAAACCCUCUCCGGGUGCUCGCUCGACGCUUGGUGACCACACAAGUUGGAGAACAUCAUGGAAGUGUGCUCAAACUUCACUAGAAUCAAGGACAUGCACAAGGAGGCAGACACUAUGGUAA
RNAcentral lists this ribosomal RNA (450 nucleotides) under Triticum aestivum (bread wheat). RNAcentral describes it as "partial small subunit ribosomal RNA". The record is from RNAcentral. Lineage: Eukaryota; Viridiplantae; Streptophyta; Magnoliopsida; Poales; Poaceae.